RNAcentral lists this ribosomal RNA (253 nucleotides) under uncultured bacterium. RNAcentral's name for it is "partial 16S ribosomal RNA". It matches the Rfam family "Bacterial small subunit ribosomal RNA", at positions 524 to 776 of the family's 1533-position model. The record is from RNAcentral.
UACGGGGGGGGCAAGCGUUGUUCGGAAUUACUGGGCGUAAAGGGCUCGUAGGUGGCCAACUAAGUCAGACGUGAAAUCCCUCGGCUUAACCGGGGAACUGCGUCUGAUACUGGAUGGCUUGAGUUUGGGAGAGGGACGCGGAAUUCCAGGUGUAGCGGUGAAAUGCGUAGAUAUCUGGAGGAACACCGGUGGCGAAGGCGGCGUCCUGGACCACGACUGACACUGAAAAGCGAAAGCCAGGGGAGCAAACGGG